UGAGGAAUAUUGGGCAAUGCCCGCAAGGGUGACCCAGCAACGCCGCGUGGAGGAUGAAUGUCGUAAGAUUGUAAACUCCUGUUAGAGGGGAAGAAUAGUACCGGUUGGACCGGUAUAUGACUGUACCCUCAGAGAAAGCCCCGGCUAACUACGUGCCAGCAGCCGCGGUAAUACGUAGGGGGCAAGCGUUGUCCGGAUCUACUGGGUGUAAAGGGCGCGCAGGCGGGAUAAAAAGUCAGUGGUGAAAUCCUACAGCUUAACUGUAGAACUGCCUUUGAUACUUUUAUUCUUGAGUUCGGGAGAGAGACGGAAUUCCAGGUGUAGUGGUGAAAUACGUAGAUAUCUGGAAGAACACCAGUUGCGAAGGCGGUCUCUUGGUCCGACACUGACGCUGAGGCGCGAAAGCGUGGGGAGCAAACA
This 420-nucleotide ribosomal RNA is filed under the name uncultured bacterium. RNAcentral's name for it is "bacterial SSU rRNA". It matches the Rfam family "Bacterial small subunit ribosomal RNA", at positions 355 to 774 of the family's 1533-position model. The record is from RNAcentral.